GCGGGGGGGGGCGGGGGUGACGCGCAGGAGGGCCCGUGCCAGGGCCUGUCCGAGGGGCUAGGCUGCCGGCGGGGCCAGCUCUGGGAGAGCCCUCGCCGCGCUCCUUCGUCUGUGGGUGGGAGACGCCACGGGGCUCUCGUGUGUCCCAGGUGAGGGUCAGCCGGGAGGGGGGGGAGGUGGCAACAUAGCCCAGGUCUGUGGGCAGCGGGCUCUCAGGGUGGGAGACGCUGUGGAGGGUCACCCAGGGCCCUCACCAGGCAGGUCUCCAGCCGUGCGUGCAGCGAAAGCACCUCCCAGGCUGACCCCUGGCCCCUGGUGACUCUGGCCUCACGGCUCCCGGUCGGGUCUGGAUGACCUCCAGCCCUCGGGGCCACCAGCACGGCCUCACGGAACGGGCCUGAGGCACACGUGGGUGGCUGGACAGUGGCCUGGCAACCGGAGCCCCAGACUAAACAAGGGGCCCCACCCCCCAGGGGAAGUUCAGAAAUAAACCAGCUCAGAACAGCACGUCCUGCCCUGUCUGUCUGUCUGUCUGUCUGUCUGUCUGUCUGAGGCACGAUAGGCCCCCUCGUGGACAGGUCUGAUUCUGGCCCCUGAUUCUAGAUCCCCUAAGUGCUCGAGAGCCCUCCAGCUCCCCACACCACCGCCCCUGCCCUCAGGCCAGGCCUUGGGAGCUCCGGCUCCGACCCCAUCCUUCCUACCUCAGGGCUGGUCCUCCCCAAGGUGGGGUCUCAGGGUCGGAGGUGGGGGUGUCACAGGAGGGGCCCAUCUAGGACAGCUCUGGCCUCUGGUCUGGCCGAGAGCCAGGAGGGGACGUGGGCAGGUGGUCACAGCUGUCGCCUCUGGGCACCGACCCAGGCCUGGGGCCACCCCCGCUCCCCUGACCCUGUGAGGUCGGCUCCGUGGGGACGAUGGGC
Molecule: long non-coding RNA, 917 nt
Organism: Myotis brandtii (Brandt's bat)
Lineage: Eukaryota; Metazoa; Chordata; Mammalia; Chiroptera; Vespertilionidae
Exons: 2
Source: RefSeq, a predicted model, not a curated record